AGGACUAACGCUGGCGGCGUGCCUAACACAUGCAAGUCGAACGAGAGUAGCAAUACUCUAGUGGCAGACGGGUGAGUAACACGUGGUCAACCUACCUCUAUGUGGGGGAUAACUAGCCGAAAGGUUAGCUAAUACCGCAUACGAUCGUCGAGCGGCAUCGCUUGACGAUGAAAGGAGCAAUCCGCAGAGAGACGGGACCGCGUCCCAUUAGCUAGUUGGUGGGGUAAUGGCCUACCAAGGCGACGAUGGGUAGCUGGCUUGAGAGAGCGACCAGCCACACUGGGACUGAGACACGGCCCAGACUCCUACGGGAGGCAGCAGUGAGGAAUUUUCCGCAAUGGGCGAAAGCCUGACGGAGCGACGCCGCGUGUGGGAAGAAGGCCUUCGGGUCGUAAACCACUGUCGAAGGGGAAGAUAUUGACGGUACCCUUGGAGGAAGCCCCGGCUAACGUACGCGCCAGCAGCCGC
This 468-nucleotide ribosomal RNA is filed under the name uncultured bacterium. RNAcentral describes it as "SSU rRNA". It matches the Rfam family "Bacterial small subunit ribosomal RNA", at positions 26 to 518 of the family's 1533-position model. The record is from RNAcentral.